GGGUAAUGGCCUACCAAGACUAUGAUCAAUAGCUGAUUUGAGAGGAUGAUCAGCCACAUUGGGACUGAGACACGGCCCAAACUCCUACGGGAGGCAGCAGUGGGGAAUCUUGCACAAUGGAGGAAACUCUGAUGCAGCGAUGCCGCGUGAGUGAAGAAGGCCUUUGGGUUGUAAAGCUCUUUCGUCGGGGAAGAAAAUGACUGUACCCGAAUAAGAAGGUCCGGCUAACUUCGUGCCAGCAGCCGCGGUAAUACGAAGGGACCUAGCGUAGUUCGGAAUUACUGGGCUUAAAGAGUUCGUAGGUGGUUGAAAAAGUUGGUGGUGAAAUCCCAGAGCUUAACUCUGGAACUGCCAUCAAAACUUUUCAGCUAGAGUAUGAUAGAGGAAAGCAGAAUUUCUAGUGUAGAGGUGAAAUUCGUAGAUAUUAGAAAGAAUACCAAUUGCGAAGGCAGCUUUCUGGAUCAUUACUGACACUGAGGAACGAAAGCAUGGGUAGCGAAGAGGAUUAGAUACCCUCGUAGUCCAUGCCGUAAACGAUGUGUGUUAGACGUUGGAAAUUUAUUUUCAGUGUCGCAGGGAAACCGAUAAACACACCGCCUGGGGAGUACGACCGCAAGGUUAAAACUCAAAUGAAUUGACGGGGACCCGCACAAGUAGUGGAGCAUGUGGUUUAAUUCGAAGAUACGCGCAGAACCUUACCAACACUUGACAUGUUCGUCGCGACUCUAAGAGAUUAGAGUUUUCGGUUCGGCCGGACGAAACACAGGUGCUGCAUGGCUGUCGUCAGCUCGUGUCGUGAGAUGUUGGGUUAAGUCCCGCAACGAGCGCAACCCUCACUUUUAGUUGCCAUCAUUAAGUUGGGCACUCUGAAAGAACUGCCAGUGAUAAGCUGGAGGAAGGUGGGGAUGACGUCAAGUCCUCAUGGCCCUUACGUGUUGGGCUACACACGUGCUACAAUGGCAUCUACAACAGGAAGCAAAACGGCAACGUUAAGCAAAUCCCGAAAAGAUGCCUCAGUUCGGAUUGCACUCUGCAACUCGAGUGCAUGAAGCUGGAAUUACUAGUAAUCGUGGAUCAGCGUGCCACGGUGAAUGCGUUCCCGGGUCUUGUACACACCGCCCGUCACACCAUGGGAGUUGGUUCUACCUUAAGGCAAGGUUUCAAACCCUUGACCACGGUAUAGUCAGCGACUGGGGUGAAGUCGUAACAAGGUAGCCGUAGGGGAACCUGCGGCUG
RNAcentral lists this ribosomal RNA (1236 nucleotides) under marine metagenome. RNAcentral describes it as "bacterial SSU rRNA". It matches the Rfam family "Bacterial small subunit ribosomal RNA", at positions 255 to 1520 of the family's 1533-position model. The record is from RNAcentral.